Carica papaya (papaya) is the source of this 1828-nucleotide RNA transcript. It is a transcript of the gene named nuclear protein, with no coding region annotated. NCBI's taxonomy places the organism in Eukaryota, Viridiplantae, Streptophyta, Magnoliopsida, Brassicales, Caricaceae. The record is from RefSeq and is a predicted model, not a curated record.
GAAAUUAGUGGCCACCAGCCUAUCAUCUCACAAACCCAACCUCUCGAUAAACCCAAAACCCCAUUGUUACCAUGCGUCUGACCACAAGAUCUCGAAGCCCAACAAGCCAUUACAAUACUCAUGGCCGCCGAGGCAACAUUGGUCGUGUUCGGUAGCUCUACAGGUUUUCCUCUCCUCUGGCGCCACUCAGCACAGCCGAUUUCUUCAAAGCUCGCAUUUUAUACCAGCAAGCCGACUGGAAGAAGAAACGCACAGCCUACUUCCAUGGCUGCUUCUACUGCUAACAAGGUGAUACCAGCUGUCAUUAUCGGCGGUGGACGGGUGGGAAGGGCCCUGCAGGGUUUGGGCGACGGUCAAGAUUUGCUGGUUAAGAGGGGUGAGUCUGUGCCUCUUGAUUUUGAGGGUCCCAUUUUGGUUUGCACAAGGAACGAUGAUCUCGACGCUGUUCUGGAGGUUACUCCUCGGUCUAGAUGGAACGAUUUGGUUUUCUUCCAAAAUGGGAUGCUGGAGCCGUGGCUAGAGAGUAAAGGUCUGAGUGAUGCAGACCAAGUGCUUGCUUAUUUUGCUGUAUCAAAGCUCGGGGAACCUCCUGUGGAUGGGAAGACUGAUACCAAUCCUGAAGGUUUGACUGCAGCAUAUGGAAAGUGGGCUUCUGCUGUAGCUGCAAGAUUACAUUCUGGAAACCUUUCUUGCAAGGUUCUUGAGAAGGAAGCAUUUCAGAAACAAAUGUUGGAGAAACUUAUUUGGAUUGCGGCAUUCAUGCUUGUCGGAGCUCGUCAUCCUGGUGCAACUGUGGGUGUUGUGGAGAAGGAAUUCCGAUCUGAGGUCUCUACCCUCAUUGAAGAACUUGCAUCUGCAGCAGCAGCAGAAAAAGGUUUUUCAUUUGAAGAAGGCAUAGUUGAAAGAUUAUGUGCCUAUUCCCGAGCUGUUGCCCACUUCCCAACAGCGGUCAAAGAGUUCAAAUGGAGGAAUGGCUGGUUUUAUUCACUCUCAGAGAAGGCCAUUGCAGAAGGAAAACCUGAUCCUUGUUCCUUGCACACUGCAUGGCUCAAAGAGCUAAAAGUGAUAUAAAUGAUCAACUCACCGUAUCUGCAAUUUAGAAUUGCUUUUGAGAUAAACAGGAGAAACAGACGAAGCACCGUGGGAUCAAAUUCUUGGAAUUGACGGUUUCCAAAGGGAUAGACAGUAUCUAUUUGGUAAUUUGUCUUUAUAUGCUACCGAUGCUAAUCAAUAUAUCUGAUGCGAUUAAGAUAUUUUCGGGUUUAGUAUCACAGUGAAUGGAUGGGCCUUAAGCCCCUUUAAGAUAUCAUACCUUAACUUCAAUAUCAAACAAGCCAUCUGGGUAGUAUCUGUUAGUGCAAUCGUCUAAACUUAAGCUUGGACAGAACUCGAAGAUUAAGUUGUAGAAGACUUCGUCUUCGUUUGAAGGUCUUGGUCACUUCAUCACCAAAGUAUUUAAUUGUAAAUUAUGGUGAAGCAACAAAAGCUGUUUUUGCUGUGGAGAUAGUUAUAAAAGUAACGAAAAUAAAUGUGUAUUUCUCUCCUUCACAAGAAAGACUUUAAGGAGAAAAAGUAUACAACUUUAUGUUUGAAUUCUGUCCAGGCUUAAAUUUGUAUAAUCCCGUCUGGAGACUAUCCACAUGACUCUCCUGGUAUUGAAAUUAAGGUUUCCACCAAGAAUAUGUCAAGAGGAGCUUAAGGCCAUCCGUGAAAGAUGUAUUAUUCACUGUCCUGUUAGACCCCGAAAAUGUGUUGCUGAUUUCAGAUAUAUUGAUCCGCAGUUUUUGGAAUCAACUUAAGAGUUUUAAUGUUUCUGUUUACAUUAAGG